This 626-nucleotide ribosomal RNA is filed under the name uncultured bacterium. Its description in RNAcentral is "bacterial SSU rRNA". It matches the Rfam family "Bacterial small subunit ribosomal RNA", at positions 235 to 853 of the family's 1533-position model. The record is from RNAcentral.
GUUGUAUUAGCUAGUAGGUGAGGUAACGGCUCACCUAGGCGACGAUACAUAGCCGACCUGAGAGGGUGAUCGGCCACACUGGGACUGAGACACGGCCCAGACUCCUACGGGAGGCAGCAGUAGGGAAUCUUCGGCAAUGGGGGCAACCCUGACCGAGCAACGCCGCGUGAGUGAAGAAGGUUUUCGGAUCGUAAAGCUCUGUUGUAAGUCAAGAACGAGUGUGAGAGUGGAAAGUUCACACUGUGACGGUAGCUUACAGAAAGGGACGGCUAACUACGUGCCAGCAGCCGCGGUAAUACGUAGGUCCCGAGCGUUGUCCGGAUUUAUUGGGCGUAAAGCGAGCGCAGGCGGUUUGAUAAGUCUGAAGUUAAAGGCUGUGGCUCAACCAUAGUUCGCUUUGGAAACUGUCAAACUUGAGUGCAGAAGGGGAGAGUGGAAUUCCAUGUGUAGCGGUGAAAUGCGUAGAUGUAUGGAGGAACACCGGUGGCGAAAGCGGCUCUCUGGUCUGUAACUGACGCUGAGGCUCGAAAGCGUGGGGAGCGAACAGGAUUAGAUACCCUGGUAGUCCACGCCGCAAACGAUGAGUGCUAGGUGUUGGAUCCUUUCCGGGAUUCAGUGCCGCAGCC